Molecule: ribosomal RNA, 468 nt
Filed under: uncultured bacterium
Lineage: Bacteria
Description: partial 16S ribosomal RNA
Rfam family: Bacterial small subunit ribosomal RNA
Source: RNAcentral
GACGAACGCUGGCGGCGUGCUUAACACAUGCAAGUCGAACGGAAAGGCCCUGCUUUUGUGGGGUGCUCGAGUGGCGAAAGGGUGAGUAACACGUGAGUAACCUGCCCUUGACUUUGGGAUAACUUCAGGAAACUGGGGCUAAUACCGGAUAGGAGCUCCUGCUGCAUGGUGGGGGUUGGAAAGUUUCGGCGGUUGGGGAUGGACUCGCGGCUUAUCAGCUUGGUGGUGGGGUAGUGGCUUACCAAGGCUGUGACGGGUAGCCGGCCUGAGAGGGUGACCGGCCACAUUGGGACUGAGAUACGGCCCAGAAGCCUACGGGAGGCAGCAGUGGGGAAUAGUGCACAAUGGGCGGAAGCCUGAGGCAGCAACGCCGCGUGCGGGAUGACGGCCUUCGGGUUGUAGACCGCUUUCGCCUGUGACGAAGCGUGAGUGACGGUAAUGGGUGAAGAAGCACCGGCUAACUACGUG